Molecule: ribosomal RNA, 498 nt
Filed under: uncultured bacterium
Lineage: Bacteria
Description: partial 16S ribosomal RNA
Rfam family: Bacterial small subunit ribosomal RNA
Source: RNAcentral
GACGAACACUGGCGGCGUGCCUAAUACAUGCAAGUCGAGCGGACGAAUCGAAAGCUUGCUUUUGAUUCGUUAGCGGCGGACGGGUGAGUAACACGUGGGCAACCUGCCCUGUAGACGGGGAUAACACCGAGAAAUCGGUGCUAAUACCGGAUAACACGAAAUGUCGCAUGACGUUUCGUUGAAAGACGGCGCAAGCUGUCGCUACAGGAUGGGCCCGCGGCGCAUUAGCUAGUUGGUGAGGUAACGGCUCACCAAGGCGACGAUGCGUAGCCGACCUGAGAGGGUGAUCGGCCACACUGGGACUGAGACACGGCCCAGACUCCUACAGGAGGCAGCAGUAGGGAAUCUUCCGCAAUGGACGAAAGUCUGACGGAGCAACGCCGCGUGAGCGAAGAAGGCCUUCGGGUCGUAAAGCUCUGUUGUUAGGGAAGAACAAGUAACGCAGUAACUGGCGUUACCGUGACGGUACCUAACGAGAAAGCCACGGCUAACUACGUG